Molecule: long non-coding RNA, 2403 nt
Organism: Triticum aestivum (bread wheat)
Lineage: Eukaryota; Viridiplantae; Streptophyta; Magnoliopsida; Poales; Poaceae
Exons: 3
Source: RefSeq, a predicted model, not a curated record
UCAGACCGCUCCGCCUCCCGCUGCUCCAUCCUGCCCGAGCUCCCCUCGCCCCCGCAAGCCGCCUCGCCGGCGACCCCACACCUCCGCCGCGCCCCGCCGCCUCGCCCCUUCCCUCCUUCCUCUCGAUCUCCUCUCACCUCUGUCUCUCUUUCUUGCUGAACAGGGACCUCCAGGAGGGCCAUGGCGCCACUAGCCCUCGAUCUCGCCAGAUCCGGCCGCCUCCACGCCAAAUCCGCCGGAAAUGGAUCCAUCCCGUCCAGAUCCACCCGGAUCCGACCGGGCCCCCCAUCCUCGCCACUGGAGCACGACGGUCGGCGGGAGCGGCAUGACGUCGGGUAUGUAUGAGAGAAGAGAGAGAUGAGCAGGAGAGAAAAAGGGAGGACAAGAGGAGGCCAGAGGAAGAGAGAUGGGAGCGGUGACCGCGUACGACCGCCCCGACCACACGGUCGCGGCUUGGCCACCGCGGCCUCCGCGCGGAGCUUCGCGACUACGACCAGCCGGAGGUGGAGGCCAUCAUGUGGUGGGCCGUCAGGUCGGGCUUCAGGGACAACGUCGUCCUGCUCCGCAAGGUCAUCGGCCCCUACCUCAGCGCUAACGGCAGGUGCGUCAACGUCGACCACAGAGCCAGCUUCCCCUCCAGUAUUGGAUCGUCGAGCGCUUCCCUGCCAGGGAAGAUGGCAUACCUGCCUUUCCUGCCCUGCAUCUGUGAAGUAGCUACUGAGCAGUGAGGCCAUCGAGCGACACCAGACCGCGGGACAGCGUGAGAAGAGGCAGGGGGUGUCUGGCGGGAUGGGGAAGACCACGAGGAAGUGUGGCGAUGGAGUGCAAUCCCGAAGAAGAAGAACAUUGCAAAGAAAGACCCUAGCCAAGCGCCACCCAAUUCUCUUUCAUUGACCUAUCUAAUGGCCAUCAAUUCAAUUGGUCCAAGCUGCUGCGUUUGACCUUCCCACUGACCCACUACAUCCUCGCUCAGCUGCUUCUGCUAUGUUUCUUCUCCAUGGCAUUGUCGGCUGCCAGUGUGCCUGACAUCAUGCCUAUGUGACCUCAUAUCAUGCUCCUCUACGUGUUCUUCUCACCCUGGUUCCAUGAGGAGAGAUGUUGUUCUGUGGUUCUGUAGCUCUACUCCAUAGCAAUGAUGGAGUCGCCUCCAGAUGGGAUAGCAAUUAUCUCGGGAUCAUGGUGAGGUUACUGAGUCGACCCUUCAUUUGGCUCUAUUCGUGUGGAUCUAUUCAUGUGCAUCCGUAAACUGUAUUUAGGUACAACUAUUGUUCUAGCACUUGUGUUUAUUAUUUUUGUAAAAAAAAGAUAUCUUGAUCUCAUUAAAUUGGGGUUUUAUGUUGACAUGAAAUUCUAACUGAAUUUGCUAUUUAGCUGACAAUUCCAACAAUUUCUUGUAUUGUAUUUGCAUGUACGGAGCUGCCUAAGCAACGGCCAGGGGGCAUAUGCUUCUCCUACCACUAACAUCUUCAUCCUAUUUGAGCCAGAAUAGCUUUGGUGCCCUCUCUCGCUCAUGGUGAGGCCGUGCACGCUUGCCAUGGUUGUGGCUACGAAAUCUCAGACUGAGUCGCUUCGGUCGGGCACUAUUCAGAUUAAUGUGGGAAUUUCUAGCACAUUCCUCUUUUACGGUGACGCUAGAUUCGAAUUUGAAGGCGUACUUGCCCCUGAGCUGGCGGUGCAUGAGGACAACGACGACAAAAUUCUGGCAUCGUCUCCAAGCUCCGUCGCAAGCAACGCAGGAACGCCUCAGGCUCAAAGUCGGGUUGCUGUGCAGGCGAGCGGCAGCAGCCACUUACGUCUCUUCCAAGAAGGGCGCCACCUUGGAGGAGCAUAACGACACCAGCUGCAGCGGCGCACGAGCCAACAAAGGGGCAGGACCAUUGGAGACGACGGACACAGAGGUGCAUGCUAGGCAUGCCGAUCAUCAGACACUAGGGAGCGAUCCCACCCGUGAUGCCGCAGUACACGCAGCCGUCGCCGCCACCGCCACAUGCCAUGAUCUACGGGCAAGUGCCUGCUCAGCAGCGUACAAGAGAGAUCACCGCGGGGCCCUACUCGCCAAGACGAUGCUUCUCUUAUCGUGCUUAUUUACUUGCCUUCUAUGUGUGACGAGAAGGAGCGGGAGAUUCAGAGGCUCAGGUUGGCAUCACUAGGUGAGUUCCCUGCUGAUUUGUCGAGCACGGGAUAUAGACUAUAGUCGGGUUCCUUCCUAACUCUGCUGGGCCUAAUGAAGAGAAAGAAUCAACUUUUGAGAUUAAUUGGCUAGAUCCAAGCAGGCAGCUGCACAACAUCGUCAAGGAGAAGAUGAGAACAAUGCGAUGUUCAAAGAAGCAGGCUCCAGUUUUGGUAAAUGAGUAGUGAUGUUGCAACCACCAAAACAAAUCUGAAAAAUAAGACAAAGACAAA